UAGAGUUUGACUGGCUCAGGAUGAACGCUAGCGGCAGGCUUAACACAUGCAAGUCGAGGGGUAUAGUUCUUCGGAAUUAGAGACCGGCGCACGGGUGCGUAACGCGUAUGCAAUCUACCUUUUACAGAGGGAUAGCCCAGAGAAAUUUGGAUUAAUACCUCAUAGUAUAAUGACUUGGCAUCAAGACAUUAUUAAAGUCACAACGGUAAAAGAUGAGCAUGCGUCCCAUUAGCUAGUUGGUAAGGUAACGGCUUACCAAGGCUACGAUGGGUAGGGGUCCUGAGAGGGAGAUCCCCCACACUGGUACUGAGACACGGACCAGACUCCUACGGGAGGCAGCAGUGAGGAAUAUUGGACAAUGGGCGCAAGCCUGAUCCAGCCAUGCCGCGUGCAGGAUGACGGUCCUAUGGAUUGUAAACUGCUUUUAUACGAGAAGAAACACUACUUCGUGAAGUAGCUUGACGGAUCGAAGAAAGA
Molecule: ribosomal RNA, 477 nt
Filed under: Flavobacterium sp. KB59
Lineage: Bacteria; Pseudomonadati; Bacteroidota; Flavobacteriia; Flavobacteriales; Flavobacteriaceae
Description: bacterial SSU rRNA
Rfam family: Bacterial small subunit ribosomal RNA
Source: RNAcentral